UGCCAGCCGCCGCGGUAAUACGGAGGGUCCAAGCGUUAUCCGGAUUCAUUGGGUUUAAAGGGUGCGUAGGCGGCUUGAUAAGUCAGUAGUGAAAGACUGUGGCUCAACCAUAGAAUUGCUAUUGAAACUGUCGAGCUUGAAUCUAGUUGAAGUGGGCGGAAUACAUCAUGUAGCGGUGAAAUGCAUAGAUAUGAUGUGGAACGCCGAUUGCGAAGGCAGCUCACUAAGUUAGUAUUGACGCUGAGGCACGAAAGCGUGGGUAGCGAACAGGAUUAGAUA
RNAcentral lists this ribosomal RNA (279 nucleotides) under uncultured bacterium. Its description in RNAcentral is "partial 16S ribosomal RNA". It matches the Rfam family "Bacterial small subunit ribosomal RNA", at positions 506 to 784 of the family's 1533-position model. The record is from RNAcentral.